This is a long non-coding RNA of Scophthalmus maximus (turbot), 477 nucleotides long. RefSeq lists it as uncharacterized. The transcript has 3 exons. NCBI's taxonomy places the organism in Eukaryota, Metazoa, Chordata, Actinopteri, Pleuronectiformes, Scophthalmidae. The record is from RefSeq and is a predicted model, not a curated record.
CUCGAACGACGGGUACAUGGCGCGCGCCUCUCAAAAUCACAACAUUAUCACGGUAACAUUAUAAAAUAGAAAUGUGCCAACCCCCCCCCGCUUCGCCUGAGCUUUCCAGUGGUCCUACUCCAUUACAUCCCGGGAAGACCGUCACAGUGUUGCACUGUGUUGUCUCGCACGGAAAUUGACGAAUGAAAACAAGAGACCAAGAAGGAGAGAAGUUCCAACUCAGCGUACCGUCUACCCUCCGCACAGCUGGCCAGACACGGAGUGAAGUUUGUUAUGAAUAAACGUCGGAUCGUCGGAAACCGAAAGUAAACAGCUGCAGCAGUAAUGAAGCCAGAGAAGAGGAAUCCUACGACAGGAAUCCAUUUCAGUCUGCAUUCCUCCCGAUGUAGAGCUGAGAGCAGUCAGAGACAGAAAGCAACAGGCUACUGGAGAUUGACCCAUACACACACACACACACACACACACACACACACACAC